UCUGCAAAUGUGAGGGUGCAGGAAGAGAGAAAAGGACACAUAAACAUCACAUUAGGGGUUGAGGCUGUGAGAAAGUAACCUGGGCACUUCCAAAAUUAAGCUCAUUGAAAUCACGUGCAGCCUUUUGGGAGGACUGAAUGCAUCCCGCCCUUGCCCCCACUCUCGCCGCAUCCCGUUGCCUUCUGGAGGGGCUGUGUCCUGCCUGAAAACACAGGAGAUGCGCAGAGGCGACUCUGGCUGAAGCCCUACACGCCUUUUUCUGCUCCAUCUCUCGAAUGACGGAGGAGCUGGACUUCCAUCACUCGGCUUGGGGUUCUGACUAUGAAAACAGUAAAAGCAGGCAAGCCGAGCCCAGCUCCUGCCAGCAGACCAUGUGCUCCACGCCCUUUCCUGCCUUGCAGCUGUUUGCUGGUCCCCCUCCAGUUUCUCCGCAUCUUUCCCUACUGAAUAUCCAGAAGAAGGGAUAACAAUAUCCUUUUAUCCGUGUCUCCUCACGUGGCCCAGCAUGUGGUCAAUGCAAUCACCAGCAAUGACAAAUAAAACUUGGUUUUGCACACAGGUUUAACAACUCUCUGGAAUGACACAUCAAUCUCAAUUCACAGGUCUCUCCCUUCGAGACACACUGGUCUUGGGGUGGGGUUUCUCUUU
Molecule: long non-coding RNA, 648 nt
Organism: Oenanthe melanoleuca
Lineage: Eukaryota; Metazoa; Chordata; Aves; Passeriformes; Muscicapidae
Exons: 3
Source: RefSeq, a predicted model, not a curated record